This 273-nucleotide long non-coding RNA is filed under the name Gossypium barbadense (sea-island cotton). Its description in RNAcentral is "long non-coding RNA (GBAR_LNC005039)". Lineage: Eukaryota; Viridiplantae; Streptophyta; Magnoliopsida; Malvales; Malvaceae. The record is from RNAcentral.
CAUCACACAUCCUUAAUACUUUAACCAACGGGUCUUGGAUCUUUAGGACAUCAACAGUCUUUUUCCAAAACUCGCUGGAGUUAAUGACUUCCAUCACGUCUAAUCCAGCUAGUUUUCUUGCAUAUGUGGACCUUCUUCAUUUUCAAGAAGUCACAAUUUCUUUUAGUAGCAAAUCUAGUAAUCCCAGGUCACAAGAGUUCUCUUCCCUAUGUAUAUCUUUCUGUAUAAUCAAUCGUCUAUGUAUGAUUGUAUGUGAAAGAAAUUAUCUUUUUU